GUGCUCACUUCGGCAGCACAUAUGCUAAAAUUGGAAUGAUACAGAGUAGUUUAGCAUGGCACCUGUUUAA
Small nuclear RNA from Gorilla gorilla gorilla (western lowland gorilla), 70 nucleotides. Lineage: Eukaryota; Metazoa; Chordata; Mammalia; Primates; Hominidae. The record is from Ensembl.